This 609-nucleotide ribosomal RNA is filed under the name Pelagibacterium luteolum. RNAcentral's name for it is "bacterial SSU rRNA". It matches the Rfam family "Bacterial small subunit ribosomal RNA", at positions 66 to 721 of the family's 1533-position model. Lineage: Bacteria; Pseudomonadati; Pseudomonadota; Alphaproteobacteria; Hyphomicrobiales; Devosiaceae. The record is from RNAcentral.
ACGCACUCUUCGGAGUGAGUGGCAGACGGGUGAGUAACGCGUGGGAACCUACCUAGUGGUGCGGAAUAGCCUCGGGAAACUGGGAAUAAUACCGCAUACGCCCUUCGGGGGAAAGAUUUAUCGCCAUUAGAUGGGCCCGCGUUUGAUUAGCUAGUUGGUGGGGUAAUGGCCUACCAAGGCGACGAUCAAUAGCUGGUCUGAGAGGAUGAUCAGCCACACUGGGACUGAGACACGGCCCAGACUCCUACGGGAGGCAGCAGUGGGGAAUAUUGGACAAUGGGCGCAAGCCUGAUCCAGCCAUGCCGCGUGAGUGAUGAAGGCCUUAGGGUUGUAAAGCUCUUUUACCGGUGAAGAUAAUGACGGUAACCGGAGAAAAAGCCCCGGCUAACUUCGUGCCAGCAGCCGCGGUAAUACGAAGGGGGCUAGCGUUGUUCGGAUUUACUGGGCGUAAAGCGCACGUAGGCGGAUUGGUCAGUUAGGGGUGAAAUCCCAGAGCUCAACUCUGGAACUGCCUUUAAUACUGCCAAUCUUGAGUCCGAGAGAGGUGAGUGGAAUUCCUAGUGUAGAGGUGGAAUUCGUAGAUAUUAGGAAGAACACCAGUGGCGAAGG